UUUAAACAUUACUUCAAGGAAAAUAAAACCUAUGCACAUCACAGCUGUUCUCAUAAGAGUGUUCUCUCGUCUUCUUUCUUUAAACUCCUGCAGCACUUCUUAGAAGAAGCUGAAAUUGUCACCAAACCUCAGGCAGGACGAGUGACUUAUAAAUGUGUUCUCUGCAGCGGUUAAAUUAACUGAUGUCAAGCUACACACGCACUGGGCACGUGUAACCACUUCAACGUCAGGUAGCUUAGCUGAAAUGACACAGUUGCAGGUGCUUGUGAAUAAGUAUAUUCACACCUGGGGAGACUGAAUCAACACUGAACCUAUGCAUUUCGUCUGCUCGACAGCAACGUCUGCCUCUUCUUUGUCCUCACCUCGACACCAUAUUAAUCAUCAAUCAACACGUCUGAAAUAAUUUUUCAGAAUGAAGACCCUUCUUAAGUGAACCACUGCUUGCACAGCUUUGCUGAGAGUGUUGUAAACACUGGAGUCGGUGCAUACUUCGUUGGACAAGUUAUGUGAUGCCACAAUUUCUAAAUAGCCAAAAG
This is a long non-coding RNA of Haplochromis burtoni (Burton's mouthbrooder), 536 nucleotides long. RefSeq lists it as uncharacterized. The transcript is spliced from 3 exons. The record is from RefSeq and is a predicted model, not a curated record. Lineage: Eukaryota; Metazoa; Chordata; Actinopteri; Cichliformes; Cichlidae.